AACCCGACUCCAUGAAGCUGGAUUCGCUAGUAAUCGCGCAUCAGCCACGGCGCGGUGAAUACGUUCCCGGGCCUUGUACACACCGCCCGUCAAGCCAUGGAGGCCGGGAGUGCCUGAAGUGCGUGAGCGCAAGCAGCGCCCUAAGGUAAAACCGGUGACUGGGGCUAAGUCGUAACAAGGUAGC
RNAcentral lists this ribosomal RNA (184 nucleotides) under uncultured bacterium. RNAcentral describes it as "partial 16S ribosomal RNA". It matches the Rfam family "Bacterial small subunit ribosomal RNA", at positions 1309 to 1500 of the family's 1533-position model. The record is from RNAcentral.